GCUAGCUAUGAAACUUCCUUAUAUUGUCCCAUUCCAGUCAUAGAUAGUUGCUACAGGCCAUGCAGAAUACACCACAGUCAAAUAAGGAGUGAUUUUUGAGAUUAAUAUCAUGUAAUAGAUAGCUUUGUACCAUG
Molecule: non-coding RNA, 134 nt
Organism: Arachis ipaensis
Lineage: Eukaryota; Viridiplantae; Streptophyta; Magnoliopsida; Fabales; Fabaceae
Source: RefSeq, a predicted model, not a curated record